This 280-nucleotide long non-coding RNA is filed under the name Elaeis guineensis (African oil palm). RNAcentral's name for it is "long non-coding RNA (EGUI_LNC000351)". Lineage: Eukaryota; Viridiplantae; Streptophyta; Magnoliopsida; Arecales; Arecaceae. The record is from RNAcentral.
AUUAGUUAGAUGUGGAAUCUAAUGGGUCACACACAUAAAGAAAUUGAUCAAGGACCCAUUUGAUAUGGUUAAUUAAAAUUUUGGACCCAAUUGGAUUUCUGGUAAGUAUGCUAGCACAUAUGGAAACCCUAGCUCUUUGAAUCGGAUUCGAAUUUGAUUCGAAUCUUGCUUUUUGAUCAAACCAAAUUGAGCCAUGGGCUAAUUUGGAUUUGGAUUAGAUUGUGGCUGCUCUUGGGUGGCACCACAUAGACUCGUGGGCACCAUUUGUAAGGGUCCUAUU